GCGCCCGUGGCGGAAUCGGUAGACGCAGCGGACUUAAAAUCCGCCGCCUUCGGCAUCCCGGUUCGACUCCGGGCGGGCGCACCA
This 84-nucleotide transfer RNA is filed under the name Gammaproteobacteria bacterium. RNAcentral's name for it is "tRNA-Leu". It matches the Rfam family "tRNA". Rfam says of the family: Transfer RNA (tRNA) molecules are approximately 80 nucleotides in length. Their secondary structure includes four short double-helical elements and three loops (D, anti-codon, and T loops). Lineage: Bacteria; Pseudomonadati; Pseudomonadota; Gammaproteobacteria. RNAcentral also lists the same sequence under 3 other names. The record is from RNAcentral.